ACGCUGGCGGCGUGCCUAAUACAUGCAAGUCGAACGCACAGCGAAAGGUGCUUGCACCUUUCAAGUGAGUGGCGAACGGGUGAGUAACACGUGGACAACCUGCCUCAAGGCUGGGGAUAACAUUUGGAAACAGAUGCUAAUACCGAAUAAAACUUAGUGUCGCAUGACACAAAGUUAAAAGGCGCUUCGGCGUCACCUAGAGAUGGAUCCGCGGUGCAUUAGUUAGUUGGUGGGGUAAGGGCCUACCAAGACAAUGAUGCAUAGCCGAGUUGAGAGACUGAUCGGCCACAUUGGGACUGAGACACGGCCCAAACUCCUACGGGAGGCUGCAGUAGGGAAUCUUCCACAAUGGGCGAAAGCCUGAUGGAGCAACGCCGCGUGUGUGAUGAAGGCUUUCGGGUCGUAAAGCACUGUUGUAUGGGAAGAACAGCUAGAAUAGGAAAUGAUUUUAGUUUGACGGUACCAUACCAGAAAGGGACGGCUAAAUACGUGCCAGCAGCCGCGGUAAUACGUAUGUCCCGAGCGUUAUCCGGAUUUAUUGGGCGUAAAGCGAGCGCAGACGGUUUAUUAAGUCUGAUGUGAAAGCCCGGAGCUCAACUCCGGAAUGGCAUUGGAAACUGGUUAACUUGAGUGCAGUAGAGGUAAGUGGAACUCCAUGUGUAGCGGUGGAAUGCGUAGAUAUAUGGAAGAACACCAGUGGCGAAGGCGGCUUACUGGACUGCAACUGACGUUGAGGCUCGAAAGUGUGGGUAGCAAAC
RNAcentral lists this ribosomal RNA (758 nucleotides) under uncultured bacterium. RNAcentral describes it as "bacterial SSU rRNA". It matches the Rfam family "Bacterial small subunit ribosomal RNA", at positions 33 to 773 of the family's 1533-position model. The record is from RNAcentral.